UCCUACGGGGGGCAGCAGUAGGGAAUCUUCCACAAUGGACGAAAGUCUGAUGGAGCAACGCCGCGUGAGUGAAGAAGGGUUUCGGCUCGUAAAGCUCUGUUGGUAGUGAAGAAAGAUAGAGGUAGUAACUGGCCUUUAUUUGACGGUAAUUACUUAGAAAGUCACGGCUAACUACGUGCCAGCAGCCGCGGUAAUACGUAGGUGGCAAGCGUUGUCCGGGUUUAUUGGGCGUAAAGCGAGUGCAGGAGGUAUACUAAGU
RNAcentral lists this ribosomal RNA (259 nucleotides) under uncultured bacterium. Its description in RNAcentral is "partial 16S ribosomal RNA". It matches the Rfam family "Bacterial small subunit ribosomal RNA", at positions 337 to 588 of the family's 1533-position model. The record is from RNAcentral.